GGUUGGAUGGCCGAGCGGUCUAAGGCGCUAGAAUCAGGUGACCGGGUCUUGUCCCGUGAUCUUCACCCACGUGAUAUCCUCCUAUCUAGUACGAAAGUGCGUGGGUUCGAAUCCCACUCCAAUCA
Molecule: non-coding RNA, 125 nt
Organism: Mycena metata
Lineage: Eukaryota; Fungi; Basidiomycota; Agaricomycetes; Agaricales; Mycenaceae
Source: the annotation of a GenBank genome assembly